UUUAGUGGUUGGCAAAUUUUAGCAUUCUAACAAAUCUAGUGCACCCUACACAUGCUAGUCAACAAAUAUGGCACUGUAAAUGUAAUGCCCCAGACACAUCCGCCGGUGGUCGUUACUCCUGGUGAGAUCUAGACUGUCCCCAUAUAUCAAUACUAUUCUUUUAUGCGUACUUUAUCCUCACUCAUGUGCAACCGGGAUCAACUUCCCGGUCGUACACCCAUCCUAGAACUACUCCAAGCCAAGCACGCUUAACUUGGUAGUUCUGUUCGAAUGGGCUUUGAGAAAAAAAAGGAAUUCAUUAUUGAUAUGAGUAGCCUAUCAUCCCUAAUAAGCCAGGCUAUCACAUACACCACCACUAAGAGGAAUCGACGUCCUCGUCACGACAGAGGAGCAUUCCCUCUUGGCACAAACGUCUGUGCAUCCAGUCCAGUAUG
RNAcentral lists this long non-coding RNA (434 nucleotides) under Hordeum vulgare. RNAcentral describes it as "long non-coding RNA (HVUL_LNC004491)". The record is from RNAcentral. Lineage: Eukaryota; Viridiplantae; Streptophyta; Magnoliopsida; Poales; Poaceae.